UACGUAGGCAGCGAGCGUUGUUCGGAGUUACUGGGCGUAAAGGGUGUGUAGGCGGUUGUUUAAGUUUGGUGUGAAAUCUCCCGGCUCAACUGGGAGGGUGCGCCGAAUACUGAAUGACUUGGAGUGCGGGAGAGGAGAGUGGAAUUCCUGGUGUAGCGGUGAAAUGCGUAGAUAUCGGGAGGAACACCUGUGGCGAAAGCGGCUCACUGGACCAUAACUGACGCUGAUGCACGAAAGCUGGGGGAGCAAACAGG
Molecule: ribosomal RNA, 254 nt
Filed under: uncultured bacterium
Lineage: Bacteria
Description: partial 16S ribosomal RNA
Rfam family: Bacterial small subunit ribosomal RNA
Source: RNAcentral